AGAACUACUGUGACUUAUAGAGACAGUGGUGACAAUAGGAGCCCAGUUGCAAUGUUACAUCGAAAAUAGAAAUUAGAAAUAGGCAACACACAAUACACAUAUGACAUGUGUUGUGUACACUAUAAUACAAUAUUAUAUAUACAGGGUUGCCAGAUGUCAGGCAUUCAGCCGGAGUCUCCGGUUUUACCUCGUGCUCUCCGGCCCCCGGGCAGACGCGACUAUAACUCCGGUAGAACAAUAAAUUUUAAUACUUUUCAAAUAGGUCAAACGAUUCCUUUUUACCCACCUAAUAACACCUUAAUUUUUAAAUAUGACAAAAUCACAAAUAGGAUUUCUAUGAUUUUGUAUUAAAAAACAAAAAACACUUGCAAGAAAAUCAGAAAAAUAUGUUUAACUUUCUUGUUUUGACUAUUUGUGUGUAAACAGCGAUGUUGAUGUUUAUGUUUCAUUUAUUAAGUUAAGUGCACUGUAUUUACCCUUAUAUUACUUAUAUUGCAAGAAUGUAUAGUUUGUUUUAUUUGUUUACUUAUACCAAUUUGAAAUAAAAAAAUUCUUAAAUUUGGAGGGGGGGGGGGGUUGGUUCGCAAUGUAGAUUUAUGUUUCUUAUGCAGCUUAUGUCCGGCAGACGGCCAUACGCAAUCUGGCAACCCUGUAUAUAUACUUGAAGUAAUAUGCUGAUCUCCACAAACAAUAAGUCACAGUAAGUAGAACCACUCGUGUGGUUCUUGAAGUAGCAAAAACGCUUUAAUAAAUCAUGUGUUUCUAUAGCAAGGUCAUCAUCACCAGUAAACAACUAAAACUUUAAAGAGUUUUGAAUGGUCUAAUAUGCCUCUCUCAUCAGUCAUCACUAUUCAUUAUGAAUCUUUAUUUUACCAAAGUCUUAAACUUUCAUAACAAUCCAUGUCACUCUUACUAUUUACUUGCUUAACUGCAUAGCAUAUUGCAAAAGUCAGAUCUACACAUGCGCAGACUGUUUAAAUUCAAUUUUCUUAGAGAUAUUUCUUUGGAAAUUUUAACAAACUCAGCGUAUAUAGUGACAGUCAAAUCCGCGGGGUUGGGUUGGAUAGUACCAAGGUACCAAAAAAAAAAUUUUGAAAUUUUAACUACAGAUGCUGAAACUCGGGACGUGAACUGUCAAUAAAAACCCUUCAAAAUAAAGUAUCACAUGAUACCAUUAAAAAAAUUCAAAAUGGCAGAAUCGCCAUCGCCACCUUGGAAGUUGUAACGGUCAAUUUUAAUAAGAAUAAUAAUAUAUAAUUGAAGGCUAAGAACAUUAAAAUUCAUCGAAAUGUCAAAAGGUAGUAUUUUAUACCUCUCCUCCCCCCUUUUGAAUAUUUACCCAAACGUUAUAGCGAAAACAUAGCAGACCCGUUUAUUCGCUUAUAUAAAUACACCGACGUUUUGUUAGCAAACACUGUUUAUUAUUGUUUUAUUAUUUGCCAAUUUUUUUAGUAGUUGGGUUGUGGGGUCGGAAUAAUCCAAAAAAGCUCAAAAAAGCACUACUUAAUUGAUAAUCUCUUUUAUAGUUAAGCGUAAGGUACAGGUUGGUAGAAGUGCUUCCCAUUUCUAGGCUUCGCUAGCGUGGGUUUAAGGUGCAACACGAUUAUUUGAACGUUCACUUUGUUUACGUUUGUUAGAGGAACAUACCAUCAAAAUUGCAAUCAAAUUAUUCCACAAACAAGAAAGUUAACUAUUGAGCAUGCGUAGUACGGUUUUUUGGCACAUUCAGUACGCAGUACGAUUUUUCAAUGUUAAGUGCGCGGUUAGGUUAGGCCGAGACCUUUCCGAAGACACUCUACACCCCUAGUUACGACGCUCCGUUCUUGAGAUAUCGCGGUUGGGGUGUUUGCGGUAGGUGUCAAAUUUCAAAUCGCUAUAUCUUCGUUGUUUAGCGUCCGCUCUCGUCCCAAUUUUGUAUUCAGAGGUUUAGGCACUCUGGGUUUGAAUCUCCAUUCGGAACUCCGACCCUUCCAUCGGUUAGGUUAUGUUGAGAGCUUUCCAAAGACACCAAUGAAUUCUUACCUACAGUGCUCCGCUCCGCUUUGGAUUGAAUUGCUUUAUAACUAAGAAAGUUGCGUUUUGCGUAUGCGCAGUACGUAUUUAAAGGUAAUUCGAUUCUAAAACGUGGUCUAUCGAUAACGCUAUUAAACAUACAACCAAACUAAAGCGGUAAAUGUGAAAUACAGGGAUGGACCACCCAUCAGAAGAUUAAACAAAACCUGGCCUGCUGACCUACCCCCGUAACACUAAGUGAUAGUGAACUAUAAGGUGAAUUGUCAGUGGACACUUCCUCUUCCAAGUCAAAGUCAUAUAUCACAUUUACUUAAUACUCUAAAUGAAGUAGAUUGUAAAUUUGCAAUAAAGAUUAAAAAAAAAAAAUGUGAAAUGUUCUUACCAUAAGUACAAUGGAAAUAAUCGCUAAAUUACAUUAGCACUUGACGUUACAUUGUCACGUCUAUCGCCAACUGACAUAGGUUUGAAGAAUGUGAAAUCUCAACUGCUUCUUAACGUUUAAAAGGACUUUCCGAAUGUAUGUCCUCAAAGUUGUGGCACUCAUCGGGUUAGGUUUGCGUCCGCAGUGGCGUAACUAGGUAGGUGCCAAAGGUACUCUGAAUGGGGGGGGCGCGCCGGAGGCGCUGAAGCACCGAGGGCACUAAGUCAUGAUGGGCAGUACGUGGUGUACCGUAUAGGCCAGUCAUAAAAGACAAGAACGGCGGUUAAAUUCUAAUACUUUGCUAAAGUCGACUACAGGGUGCACCGAAAUGUAAUUAAAACUAAAUUUACGCUCCUUUAGGAUGAACCGAACAUUGUUAAAAAGUAAAAAAAUUAUCAAAGUCUUUGUGUGAGAUGUAAGGGAUUUCAGCGCAUUUUGUGUGGCAGAUCAGUACUUUUAUUAACCACAAUCAAUAAGAUUUUGUCGGGGGGCCCAUAUUCCCUUUGUCGGUACCCACCUCCGACAUCCCGUUCGCCCGGAAUUCGCGUUUGAAGUUUUGACUCCACCGUUAGUAAGAUCUUGUCGAGAGCUACCACACUCCCAUUGUCGGUACCCGCUUCCGACGCCCCCACAGAAGGCAGAUGUAUACACAGUUUGAAUCAAAACACUUGUACCACGCUAUCUUAAGUGCCUCAAUAUGAAUGGCGACUGUGUUGAAAAAUAGCCUAAGAGUGUAGCUUCCAAAUGUAUAUAAUAAAAGUUGUUUAUUACACUUUCUUAAUUUUUUAUUUCAAAACGUCUGUUAGUUUCUGGAUGGCCCUUGUAGUACAAAGUUACAGCGGUAGGAAAAGGCUGCAGAUUUAAAAUAAUAAUAAUCUUUAUUUGUGAUCUAUACAAUAGUCUGUAUUAGUGUAACCAGCAUUUGCACGCAAUCAUUUCUACGACCUGUGUCCCAUGCCAUAGUUAAAUUCGACGCGAUAAUUGGAAACACUAUAAAUAAAUGUACUUUUAUUCUUCAUUCAGUGAAAGAUUUCGUUAUUCAAAGCAUCUUUCUAAAAUUUAAGUAUGCAAAAUUUGUGUGUAAAUUCGAAAGGGUGCAGUGCUGUUAAAAUUUCGUGUAAAGUUUCUCUCAAAAAUGUACCGUGUUUUAUUAAUUUGAGCGCAAUGGUAACUGAUUAGACGCCAAAAUCUGGUAGGGCGCCAAAACCUGCUCCGGCACCGCUUCGAAAAAUACCUAGUUACGCCACUGUGCGUCCGUAACGAUAUCGAUUGUCAGGAGGGUACAAUUGGGAGGUGCACCGGCAUCGCGACGGUUUCGACGGUGGUUGGCCGUGCUAUUCCGUCAGCCAAAACGAGAUUCGCGUUCUUGGUGUAAAGGUGAAAUUCGCGGCGGCGCGGAGGAUUUGAACAGCGCGUGAUCGCUGGCACUCGGGUUUUCACGACAUUUGGGACAUUAGUGUCAGACGACCCCGGGGUUCCGCAUCUGAAACACGUCUUUUUUGCAGGCGUUAAUUAUUUAAAAAGGAUAGGGCGAUCAUCAGUACAGAUCCGUACACCAUUUUUUUCGAGGAGUGUCAAUCCCCCUUAAUGCGCAAACUGGCAGCAUGUGAUUCUCCUCGAAACGAUAGGAUUGUUAAAAAGUUUAGAGCUUGGGAUCCAA
Molecule: long non-coding RNA, 4094 nt
Organism: Photinus pyralis (common eastern firefly)
Lineage: Eukaryota; Metazoa; Arthropoda; Insecta; Coleoptera; Lampyridae
Exons: 2
Source: RefSeq, a predicted model, not a curated record